RNAcentral lists this ribosomal RNA (500 nucleotides) under uncultured bacterium. RNAcentral describes it as "partial 16S ribosomal RNA". It matches the Rfam family "Bacterial small subunit ribosomal RNA", at positions 30 to 523 of the family's 1533-position model. The record is from RNAcentral.
AUUGAACGCUGGCGGCAUGCUUUACACAUGCAAGUCGAACGGUAACAGGGUGCUUGCACCGCUGACGAGUGGCGAACGGGUGAGUAAUGCGUCGGAACGUGCCGAGUAGUGGGGCAUAACGCAGCGAAAGUUGUGCUAAUACCGCAUACGUACUGAGGUAGAAAGUGGGGGACCUUCGGGCCUCACGCUAUUCGAGCGGCCGACGUCUGAUUAGCUAGUAGGUGAGGUAAAGGCUCACCUAGGCGACGAUCAGUAGCGGGUCUGAGAGGAUGAUCCGCCACACUGGGACUGAGACACGGCCCAGACUCCUACGGGAGGCAGCAGUGGGGAAUUUUGGACAAUGGGCGAAAGCCUGAUCCAGCCAUGCCGCGUGUCUGAAGAAGGCCUUCGGGUUGUAAAGGACUUUUGUUAGGGAGGAAAUCCCUAGUGCUAAUAACACUGGGGGAUGACAGUACCUGAAGAAUAAGCACCGGCUAACUACGUGCCAGCCGCCGCCGUAA